Molecule: long non-coding RNA, 1367 nt
Filed under: Pan troglodytes (chimpanzee)
Lineage: Eukaryota; Metazoa; Chordata; Mammalia; Primates; Hominidae
Description: long non-coding RNA NONPTRT009330
Source: RNAcentral
GAGAUCACCAUGCGGAACCAGCCUGGCCCUUAGAUGUGUGUGCUCGAGCCAGGAUCAGCCGGAGUCUGACAGCGCCUGCACCCCAACACGGUCGGAUUCCAGGACGCCAGUGACAAAACCAGUGCAUGGACAAGCAGCUUCCAUGCGUGUGCAUUUGAUUUUUAAAAACAAUACACAUUUCAGUGUUAACUUCCCCCCUCACCUGGCUUGAAACAUUUUCCCCAUUUUCCAGGGAAACAAACUCUACCAAAAGGUGCCGCCUGCAGGACCCCGGGCCCAGCCCCUUCUGGAGGUGGUGCUGUGUGGACUCCUCUGGGGCGGACCCGGGGCCAGCACAGGGCCCCUUCCCAGGCCGCCCUUCAGAUGCAGCUUUGCCACUGACCGUAUCUGCUGCUCAGAAAAUCAGCUUUCAUGUUUCAAGGCAGGGAAGGGCUUCCAGUCCCCUCCUCGAUUUCACACCGGGACACACACCUGGGUCAGGUGAGCAUGACACACAGCCCCCAGGAUGGGCACCCCACCCUGCAGAGCAGAGGCCAAUGCCGGUGGGGGCCGUGGCAGUGCCCUGGGCACACACCCUCUGCACACAGUGGGCUCAGCGCUUCCUUCUGUGCACCUGCCGGGAAAGCCUCCUGCAGGUCCCUGCCCGACUCCCAAGAAACCAGAGGCCAUUUCAGAGCCACCUUUAAUUGUACUUGUCACUUCACCAGGGGACAGCAGCAUGAAUGACACUCCUGCUGCGUGAUAUAUACAUAUACACAUAUGUACACACAUGGACACACCACAGCCCACACUCACAGCAUGUGACGACGCAAACUGUUGCUGGUAAGGACAGUAAAAAUGUAGCUUUUGCCAAUUCCACAGGAGAAUGAUUUACAACCAAAAUAACAGACACAGGCCAGUCCUGCGCCACAGGGGUUCACAGCUCUGAAUACUGGGAAAGGGUGAGAUCAGUCAUUUCGUGUCCCCUCACGAGAUGUCCCCACAGUAGGAUGCACUGAGUCAGAGCUAAGGGAGGGUGGACAAGGAGGCGCGGAAGCUGCCCCAGGACUCACCACCUCUUUUAAUUAUAGGGAAGCAGUCCACUCAAGAAAGAGAGAAAUAAAACCCGGGAGGAUCUUUUUCCUUAAAUUAAGACAAAGCCUUAAAGCCAACAGGGCAGAGCGCUGAAAACGGUUCUGCUUCCAGGUCAGGCAGGGGGAGGAACUCCAGGCCCCGAGUGUCCGGGCUUCCCGGGGGUCGUCUAAUCACAAUCACCACCGUGAGAAUGGCCAUAACCACGAUUUAUUAGGUUUCACAAAUUCUGCAGGGGACUGGGUUCCACAAACCUCCAGACCUGCUCCUCUUUCCCACCCUACCCCACCUUCUGC